This 894-nucleotide long non-coding RNA is filed under the name Pan troglodytes (chimpanzee). RNAcentral describes it as "lincRNA". The record is from RNAcentral. Lineage: Eukaryota; Metazoa; Chordata; Mammalia; Primates; Hominidae.
CUGCAAUACCUCACUCAAUCUCUGUCUUUCUUGAAGAAGUCAUAAAUAAACACGAUGAAUCUAUGUAGAAGCGGAAUCUCACCAGUGACAUGCGUUUGUGAAAAGCUGUGAAUAUUCAGUGCCACAGGGUUAAACCUCGGUACAGAAGCGAGACCCUGCUGGGCAGAGAAAGGGUGACCUGGAAGGUGUGUGAGGGCCCCACCCAUGGGCCCCUGUGAUGGUCAUGGCCUCAAGAAUCACAGUCCAGGUAAGGCCCUGAAUCUCCACAGCCAGGACCAGUUGCCUCUGCACUUGGGUGCCGAGGCCAGUGUCAGCCAGGAGAGGCCUGCAGAAUCAGCCUGUGCACCUCUCUGACGAUAAGCAGAGAUGCCGGUUUAGAGACGUGCUACUCACGGGGCAGUCCUCGGGCCUCUUGUACUCACAUUACCUGGAACUUCUUGGAAAUUCAGAAUCUCAAGCCCCAACCCAGACGAACUGAAUCAAAAUCUUCACUGUGAUAAGACCCUCGGUGACACACAGGCCUGGGAAGCACAGGUUAGCGUGUCACCUUGGGCAAAGCUCUCAGCAUUGUGAGCCUCUGUUUUCUACUCUGUAAAGGAGGCAUCAAUAUCUACAUCAUCAGUUUGCCAUGAGUACUGAAAAAUAAUGUCUUAGAAGCACAGGGCAGAGCCUGGCAUGUAGUUUGUGCUCAGUGCACAGCAGACAAGAAACCACAUGCACCAGACCCGGGCGGCCGUCGGCAGCCCAUGCUGAGCAACCAUGGGUGGCCCUCUUGUCUCUCGGGACAAGAAAUGCUUCUUUAGAAAUGCUUCUUUCCUUUCUAAAAUGAAAGUUUUGGACAGUAUUUCCUUUCACUUAAAAAUUUCAUCUGUGUAUUUGAUGGCCUCUGUCGUU